Molecule: transfer RNA, 69 nt
Filed under: Neotoma lepida (desert woodrat)
Lineage: Eukaryota; Metazoa; Chordata; Mammalia; Rodentia; Cricetidae
Rfam family: tRNA
About the family: Transfer RNA (tRNA) molecules are approximately 80 nucleotides in length. Their secondary structure includes four short double-helical elements and three loops (D, anti-codon, and T loops). Further hydrogen bonds mediate the characteristic L-shaped molecular structure. tRNAs have two regions of fundamental functional importance: the anti-codon, which is responsible for specific mRNA codon recognition, and the 3' end, to which the tRNAs corresponding amino acid is attached (by aminoacyl-tRNA synthetases). tRNAs cope with the degeneracy of the genetic code in two manners: having more than one tRNA (with a specific anti-codon) for a particular amino acid; and 'wobble' base-pairing, i.e. permitting non-standard base-pairing at the 3rd anti-codon position.
Source: Rfam by way of RNAcentral
GGGGAUGUAGUUCAGUUGGUAUAAUGCUUGCCUAGCAUGCAAGAAGUCUGGGUUCAAGCCCCAACACCA